UGAUCAACCUAUGUUCUACCAUUCAUAUCUAUUAGAUUUACCUUUAUAUGCAAUCAACGCUUCAUGUUAGGAUAGAUUCAUUAGACUAGAUAGAAAACCCUAGCCAGUUCACUGCCAAUCCACGGAUUGAUAAACCUUGGAUGGAAUACUCUAAUAGAGAAGCUACGAUGAUUCGUGAGCUUGCGGUUCAUAAAUUGGCGUGCUACUACCGUCAACAAGCUUUUCUGGUACCGUUGCUA
RNAcentral lists this long non-coding RNA (239 nucleotides) under Setaria italica (foxtail millet). Its description in RNAcentral is "long non-coding RNA (SITA_LNC004974)". Lineage: Eukaryota; Viridiplantae; Streptophyta; Magnoliopsida; Poales; Poaceae. The record is from RNAcentral.